This 29-nucleotide small RNA is filed under the name Bombyx mori (domestic silkworm). Its description in RNAcentral is "ovarian small RNA-2642". The record is from RNAcentral. Lineage: Eukaryota; Metazoa; Arthropoda; Insecta; Lepidoptera; Bombycidae.
CUCCGGAGUAUCCUGAGCGAAGUUCGCCC